AAAUUGAAGAGUUUGAUCAUGGCUCAGAUUGAACGCUGGCGGCAGGCCUAACACAUGCAAGUCGAACGGUAACAGGAAGCAGCUUGCUGCUUUGCUGACGAGUGGCGGACGGGUGAGUAAUGUCUGGGAAACUGCCUGGUGGAGGGGGAUAACUACUGGAAACGGUAGCUAAUACCGCAUAACGUCGCAAGACCAAAGAGGGGGACCUUCGGGCCUCUUGCCAUCGGAUGUGCCCAGAUGGGAUUAGCUAGUAGGUGGGGUAACGGCUCACCUAG
RNAcentral lists this ribosomal RNA (275 nucleotides) under Escherichia coli. RNAcentral describes it as "partial 16S ribosomal RNA". It matches the Rfam family "Bacterial small subunit ribosomal RNA", at positions 1 to 272 of the family's 1533-position model. Lineage: Bacteria; Pseudomonadati; Pseudomonadota; Gammaproteobacteria; Enterobacterales; Enterobacteriaceae. The record is from RNAcentral.